GACGAACGCUGGCGGCGUGCUUAAUACAUGCAAGUCGAGCGAAAAGAUCCUGCUCUUGUUCCGUGCACGAGUGGCGCACGGGUGAGUAUAACGUGUGGAAACUCUCCUUGUAUUUGGGAUAACUUUUCGAGACAGCGGCUCAUACCGGGUAGGAGAUCCUGCUCCAUGGUGUGCGUUGGUAAGUUUCGGCGGUUGGGGAGGGACUCGCGGGUUAUCCGCUUGUUGGUGUGGUUGUGGCUUACCAAGGCUUUGACGGGUAGCCGGCCUGAGAGGGUGACCGGCCACAUGGGGACUGAGAGACGGCCCAGAGACCUACGGGAGGCAACAGGGGGAAAUAUUGCAGAAUGGGCGGAAGCCUGAUGCAGCAACGCCGCGUGCGGGAUGACGGCUUUCGGGGGGUAAACCGAUUUCGCAUGUGACGAAGCGGGAGUGAGGGUAAUGGGUAAAGAAGCACCGGCUAACUACGUG
RNAcentral lists this ribosomal RNA (468 nucleotides) under uncultured bacterium. RNAcentral's name for it is "partial 16S ribosomal RNA". It matches the Rfam family "Bacterial small subunit ribosomal RNA", at positions 28 to 507 of the family's 1533-position model. The record is from RNAcentral.